GCGGGAUAGGGUUUGAUCAUGGCUCAGGAUGAACGCUAGCGCCCGGUCUAACACAUGCAAGUCGAGGGGUAACAGGAAAGCUUGCUUUUGCUGACGACCGGCGCACGGGUGCGUAACGCGUAUGCAACCUACCUCAUACUGGGGGAUAGCCCCUGGAAACGGGGAUUAAUACUCCAUAGUAUCACGAAUUCGCAUGUUUUUGUGAUUAAAGUUUUUCGGUAUGAGAUGGGCAUGCGUCCCAUUAGCUUGUUGGUGAGGUAACGGCUCACCAAGGCAACGAUGGGUAGGGGGCCUGAGAGGGUGGUCCCCCACACUGGUACUGAGACACGGACCAGACUCCUACGGGAGGCAGCAGUGAGGAAUAUUGGUCAAUGGAGGCAACUCUGAACCAGCCAUGCCGCGUGAAGGAUGACGGCCCUAUGGGUUGUAAACUUCUUUUAUAGAGGAAGAAACUUGUCUACGUGUAGACAACUGACGGUACUCUACGAAUAAGGAUCGGCUAACUCCGUGC
This 511-nucleotide ribosomal RNA is filed under the name uncultured bacterium. RNAcentral describes it as "bacterial SSU rRNA". It matches the Rfam family "Bacterial small subunit ribosomal RNA", at positions 1 to 508 of the family's 1533-position model. The record is from RNAcentral.